This 572-nucleotide ribosomal RNA is filed under the name Hansenula anomala. RNAcentral describes it as "Wickerhamomyces anomalus partial large subunit ribosomal RNA". It matches the Rfam family "Eukaryotic large subunit ribosomal RNA", at positions 70 to 655 of the family's 3401-position model. The record is from RNAcentral. Lineage: Eukaryota; Fungi; Ascomycota; Saccharomycetes; Phaffomycetales; Wickerhamomycetaceae.
AGGGAUUGCCUCAGUAACGGCGAGUGAAGCGGCAAAAGCUCAAAUUUGAAAUCUAGCACCUUCGGUGUUCGAGUUGUAAUUUGAAGAUGGUAACCUUGGGUUUGGCUCUUGUCUAUGUUCCUUGGAACAGGACGUCAUAGAGGGUGAGAAUCCCGUCUGAUGAGAUGCCCAUUCCUAUGUAAGGUGCUAUCGAAGAGUCGAGUUGUUUGGGAAUGCAGCUCUAAGUGGGUGGUAAAUUCCAUCUAAAGCUAAAUAUUGGCGAGAGACCGAUAGCGAACAAGUACAGUGAUGGAAAGAUGAAAAGAACUUUGAAAAGAGAGUGAAAAAGUACGUGAAAUUGUUGAAAGGGAAGGGCAUUAGAUCAGACUUGGUGUUUUACGAUUAUCUUCUCUUCUUGAGUUGUGCACUCGUAUUUCACUGGGCCAGCAUCGAUUCGGAUGGCAAGAUAAUGGCAGUUGAAUGUGGCUUCACUUCGGUGGAGUGUUAUAGCUUCUGCUGAUAUUGCCUGUCUGGAUCGAGGGCUGCGUCUUUUGACUAGGAUGCUGGCGUAAUGAUCUAAUGCCGCCCGUCUU